Molecule: ribosomal RNA, 440 nt
Filed under: uncultured bacterium
Lineage: Bacteria
Description: partial 16S ribosomal RNA
Rfam family: Bacterial small subunit ribosomal RNA
Source: RNAcentral
CCUACGGGUGGCAGCAGUAGGGAAUAUUGCUCAAUGGGGGAAACCCUGAAGCAGCAACGCCGCGUGGAUGAUGAAGGUUUUCGGAUUGUAAACCCCUUUUGUUAGGGAAGAUAAUGACGGUAUCUAACGAAUAAGCACCGGCUAACUCCGUGCCAGCAGCCGCGGUAAUACGGAGGGUGCAAGCGUUACUCGGAAUCACUGGGCGUAAAGCGCGCGUAGGCGGGAUAGCAAGUCAGAUGUGAAAUCCUAUGGCUUAACCAUAGAACUGCUGUUGAAACUGUGAUUCUAGAGUAUGGGAGAGGGAGGCGGAAUUCGUGGUGUAGGGGUGAAAUGCGUAGAUAUCAAGAGGAAUACUCAUUGCGAAGGCGGCCUGCUGGACCAUAACUGACGUUGAUGCGCGAAAGCGUGGGGAGCAAACAGGAUUAGAUACCCCAGUAGUC